UUCGAGCGUCAUUACAACCUCUCCAGCUCGGCUGGGUCUUGGGGCUUGCCUUCCCGGGCAUCCCCUAAAACUAGAUGCGGCGCCGCGUUGGCUCUAAGCGUAGUACUUUUCUCGCUUUUGGGUCCGCUGUGGUGUUUGCUAUACAACCCCAACUUUCUAUGGUUGACCUCGAAUCAGGUAGGGAUACCCGCUGAACUUAA
This 200-nucleotide unclassified non-coding RNA is filed under the name soil metagenome. RNAcentral describes it as "partial contains internal transcribed spacer 2 and large subunit ribosomal RNA". The record is from RNAcentral.